This is a long non-coding RNA of Erigeron canadensis, 1137 nucleotides long. RefSeq lists it as uncharacterized. The transcript is spliced from 5 exons. The record is from RefSeq and is a predicted model, not a curated record. Lineage: Eukaryota; Viridiplantae; Streptophyta; Magnoliopsida; Asterales; Asteraceae.
UUUCACGUACCGCCUUUCUUAUUCCUUCUUUCUUCUUAUUCUUUAUUUCUUCUCUUUUUUCGCAACUUUUUUGUAUCUCCAUCGAUUGGCAAAUUGAUGAUCAGAUAUAAUGUUUAAGAUUUCUUCAUGAUAAAUUUAUUUCCCAACCUUUUUCAUCUCCAUCUAUGUAGAGAUUGAUGAAUAAAUCCAAUGUUCAAGCCAUGUCAGAUGUUUCGGAAGAGAUGGUUAAACCAAACGCAACUUCAAGUGUAAGUUUUAAACAACCCCUUUAGAUGAUGCUUUAUAAGGAUUAUAAUGUGCCCUUGAUAUGCAUAGGAAUGCCUCUUCUGCUAAGAUCACACCUCUCUUAGUAGGUCGGCUUUUAGGCAAUGACCUAGAUGCCCUUGAGAGGAACAUUGAUUUGUUGGUAAAAUAUGGCAGGAUUUAAGAUCAAAUGUGGAAGUACGGUGGAAUAUUAUUCGUCAUAGUUUCUUGCGAACAAAGGACAUGUCCAACCGCGUGUGUAGUACUGAUACUUUCUUGGAAGGCUUACUAUGCCGCAAUUCAAGAAUUUAAGCAUGGUUAGUGGAUUAUCUCAUUUUAAUACUUCAUGGUGCAUGCUUGGGAUCCAUUAUUAAAUCAAAUUAAGAGACGUUUGGGGCACUCUGAUACACCUAUUCUUUAUGGCAGUAUCUUUGUUAUGCAAAGUUGCAGCAUUGAGAACAUUUAAUUUGGAUAAAUUACAAUAUUGCAGAGAACGUGCAUCUACAUAAGCAACCUUGCUAAUUUCCCGACCAAAGAUACCAUUGACCAUUUCAGUACAGUAAUAAAGCUUUAUAAAUUAUGCUCAAUUAACUGUACAUAUACUUGUGAAAUUUCCAACUUUUAUUUGACGACUACAACCUUGGCCCAUUUUCAGGUAUAAAGAACAACGUGACAUGCUAUACAACUAAACAUUAAAUAUAGAUUAGGUUGCAUUUGCUUUAGAGGGUAUCAAUAAUGAUGUUCAAGAAACAAUAUUUUUUUUAUAGUUUUAUUCAGUUAUAAUGUUGAUUCUAUAGUUCUUUAUUGUUUGGAUAGAUUAGCUCCAUUAAUUAUGAAGACGAUCAAGGUUGUAAUUGGUUUAAGGGUAAUCAAAUAUAAGAUUUUGAUUUUAAA